Molecule: long non-coding RNA, 1448 nt
Filed under: Homo sapiens (human)
Lineage: Eukaryota; Metazoa; Chordata; Mammalia; Primates; Hominidae
Description: HSALNT0370317
Source: RNAcentral
CACCUCGGUCUCCCAAAGUGCUGGGAUUACAGGCAUGCACCACCAUGCCCAGCUAAUUUUUGUAUUUUUACUAGAGACAGGGUUUCACCACAUUGGUGAGGCUGGUCUCAAACUCCUGACCUCGUGAUCCGCCCGCCUCAGCCUCCCAAAGUGCUGGGAUUACAGGCGUGAACCACUGCGCCCGGCCUCAUUUGCCAUUCUUGAGCGUUAAAUCAAACCUUGCAAAGUUGGGCACUAGUUGCCACUGAGACUUUAGAGAAAUCUGCUUAUCCUGGAAUUACUCUUCUUGGAGUGCUGCGGGAAGCACUGCAGUUGGGAGGUACUUGGUCUAAAAAGAGCUUCAUUUGCAUAAAAUACAUUUUUGAUUGUUUUGUUUGCUAAGGACUCAAUUGAGCCCUAGUAAUUUGGUGAGGUCGAGUGGGUAGAAAAUAAAAAGAAGCAUUCCUUUCUUCCCCAACCUUCUUUUCCUCACCACAACCUUCACCAUUACGGUGUUACUUCAUUAUUUUAUGAAGUUCUAGGAAAUGAUUGUGUGAAUAAAUUGUCUCCAUUGUUUAUAUUUGGGGAAAUCUGCCAAAAUUUGAGGAAAGUAUAAACGUCAGUUUUUUUUUUUCUCACAAUGCCCAAUACAUCAGCCAUUCUCUCCACGUAAGCUGCUGCAUGCAAGUGGAGUAUUACUGAAGAGUACACCAUUGGUCUUAGCUAUUUUUUUCUCUUCCUGCAGUCCUCUUCUGCCCAUGUUUUCCUAUACACAGCAACUAUAAGGUGCUGAAGACAUUUGGUUUUCUCUUAAGCUGAAGGAGUUCUCAGCUGUUCUGUCUUUGGGGCAUGGGCAUCAGGGAGAUUCUGACAGUAGAAAGGUAUUAUGUAGUGUGAUUUUUUUGUUGCUUUCUGGGGUGAACUGUAUACUUAACAGGUGGUGUACUUUUUUAUUACCAGAUUUGAAUCCAGCUGAUGCUCUUUUAUACUACAGUGGCCAGCAGGAAAACAAUGUACAAACUUUUUUUUUUUUUAAUGCAUUUAAAAUGAAGGGCAUUCUGCCUUUUUUUUUUUUUUUUUUUUUUUUUUUUUUUUAGUGGCAAAGUCAAUCUCAAUGUUUCAAGUCUGGAUUUAGGCAACUACAUUUACUAGGAUUUUUUAAAUUGUAUCCCUUAGCAUGUUGUUUAUUUGGUUUUUACUUAAAUGUUUACUUCUAAUGUUUUCCUAACAUGGUCUCAUUUUGUAAUGUAAAUUUGUAUUAAAUGCCAUACACACAUUUUCAUUCUUCUGCUAAAACAUGUAUUGUGUGCACUUACUAAAUUUUAAAGCAUUAAAAAUUAUUUCAAAAUAGCCAGUGUCUCUGUUUUCUAAACCACUUCUGGGUAGCUUGGGGCUGGAAUAUUGGAUAGUCUUUAUUGGAUAGUCUUUAUUGGAUAGUCUUUUUAGAAUGAUUCUUGUGCUGACCAUCA